RNAcentral lists this ribosomal RNA (251 nucleotides) under uncultured Pseudomonas sp. Its description in RNAcentral is "partial 16S ribosomal RNA". It matches the Rfam family "Bacterial small subunit ribosomal RNA", at positions 100 to 355 of the family's 1533-position model. The record is from RNAcentral. Lineage: Bacteria; Pseudomonadati; Pseudomonadota; Gammaproteobacteria; Pseudomonadales; Pseudomonadaceae.
GGGGUGAGUAAUGCCUAGGAAUCUGCCUGGUAGUGGGGGACGAACGUUUCGAAAGGAACGCUAAUACCGCAUACGUCCUACGGGAGAAAGCAGGGGACCUUCGGGCCUUGCGCUAUCAGAUGAGCCUAGGUCGGAUUAGCUAGUUGGUGAGGUAAUGGCUCACCAAGGCGACGAUCCGUAACUGGUCUGAGAGGAUGAUCAGUCACACUGGAACUGAGACACGGUCCAGACUCCUACGGGAGGCAGCAGCA